UACGUAGGGGGCAAGCGUUAUCCGGAUUUACUGGGUGUAAAGGGAGCGUAGGUGGCAAAGUAAGUCAGAUGUGAAAGCCCGUGGCUUAACUGCGGGAUUGCAUCAGAAACUGCUUUGCUAGAGUGCAGGAGAGGUAAGUGGAAUUCCUAGUGUAGCGGUGAAAUGCGUAGAUAUUAGGAGGAACACCGGCGGCGAAGGCGGCUUGCUGGACGGCAACUGACGUUGAGGCUCGAAAGCGUGGGUAGCAAACAGGAUUAGAUACCCCGGUAGU
RNAcentral lists this ribosomal RNA (271 nucleotides) under uncultured prokaryote. RNAcentral's name for it is "partial 16S ribosomal RNA". It matches the Rfam family "Bacterial small subunit ribosomal RNA", at positions 524 to 794 of the family's 1533-position model. The record is from RNAcentral.